This 2854-nucleotide long non-coding RNA is filed under the name Sus scrofa (pig). RNAcentral's name for it is "lncRNA (ENSSSCG00005006774.1)". The record is from RNAcentral. Lineage: Eukaryota; Metazoa; Chordata; Mammalia; Artiodactyla; Suidae.
GUUUACUGUAGAUAAUAAGUCAUUUUAAGUAAAAAGAUUUUGUCUGAUAAGUGGAUUUUUGGAGUGCCAUACAUCAUUGUAAUAACCAAGUUUUUUUCACACAUUGCAGAGAACCAGUUUUUCCACCCAUUGGGGUGUAUAACCUUUUCUGAGAACACAUACUACCCAGCCACAAUCAAACUAGUUUGAUUUCACUUACAGAAGUUCUUGAACAGGCAGAAUUAAUUUACACCAUGAUAGAAAUAAAAUAGUGUUUAUCUCUGGUGGGUGGAGUUUGACUUUAAGUGGGUACAUUAAACUUUCUGGGGGGAUAGAAAUAUUUCAUAUAUCAUUGGCCGAUUGUUAGACAAAUGUCUCAUUUGUUAAACCCUCAUCAAAUUUUAUACCUAAAAUCACUGUAUAUAAAUUUUACUCCAGUUAAAAUAAGAUUAAAUUUUAUUGAUAUUCAGUGACAAGCAGAAUCUUUUCAUUCAAAUUUCUAAAAGUCGUAUUAAGAUUAAAUCCAAGAGGAGUUCCCAUCAUGGCUCAGUGGUAGUGAACCCUACUAGUGUCCAUGAGGACGCAGGUUUGAUCCCUGGCCUCGCUCAGUGGGUUAAGGAUUUGGUGUUGCCAUGAGCUGUGGUGUGGGUUGCAGACACAGCUUGGAUCUAGCAUUGCUGUGGCUGUGGUGUAGGCUGACAGCUGCAGCUCCAGAUUCUACCCCUAGCCUGGGAACCUCCAUGCAAAAGAUUAAAUCCAAGAAAGAAAGGCAUGGCAUGAUGAGAAUAAAUUUUAACAUAUGCUGCCUGUUGUUUUUAUACCUUUGUAAAUUGCCUUAAAUAUUUUCAGGAAAAGAUGUCUUCUGGUUACAAAUGCUGCAUAAAAAUUAUGCCCAAAUUUUCUGUAUUAAAAUGACCAUUCUUGGGGAGUUCCCGUCGUGGCUCAGUGGUUAAGGAAUCCAACUAGGAACCAUGAGGUUGCGGGUUCAAUCCCUGGCCUUGCUCAGUGGGUUAAGGAUCCACCGCUGCCGUGAGCUGUGGUGUAGGUCGCAGACAAGGCUGGGAUCGCGUGUUGCUGUGGCCCUGAUGUAGACCGGCAGCUACAGCUCUGAUUUGACCCCUAGCCUGGGACCCUCCAUAUGCCAUGGGAGGGGCCCUAGAAAAGACAAAAAUAAAAUAAAUAAAUAAAUGACCAUUUUCUUUUCGGUCAUAAUUCUAUGGGUCAUGAGUUUGAGGGCUCAUCUGGGCAGUUCUUGUGUGGGGUGUCUGAUGUGGUGCAGUCAGUUGUCAGCUGGGAUUGCUUUCAUCUGAGGGUCCCCUGAGCUGGAUAUCAACAUGGCUCACUCCAGUGAAAGUGAAUUGCCGGCUCUUGGCUGCAACCUCACUGGGCUGUCAGCCAAAGAGUCUACAGUGGCUUCUCCAGCAGAGCAGUCUAAGGGUUAUAAGGUUUCCUCGAUGGCUACACCAACUCCAAGCACGAGUGUUCCCGUCCUGGACAAGCUGUGUUACCUUUUCUGAUUCAGUCUUGGAUGUCAUGCAGAGUCACUUCUGUAUCCUGCUAGUUACAAUGAAUCACAAACUCAGCAGAGAUUCAAGGAGAGGGGACAAGAGCGCAGCCCCUCACAGGAGCUCUGUCAAAGAGGUCCCAUUCAUUUUUCUUUAAACAGCCACCACUGAAAAGAAAAAGAAUAAAGAAAUGUGGUCUUUUGACCUGAAGAGUUAAGGUCCAUGAGAUUCAACACAUUCUAGCCUGAGUGGACCGUAUUUUUGAGAGAUUUGGAUUUCAUCUGGAAGUUGAAAUCAAUGUUCCUGUACUCAUAUCAUCUCUCUUAGUAGUUUCACCUAAUCAGUAUCCCUGUCUAUUCGGUAGCUGGAGAUGGGGGAUCAGAAUUUGGGAGGAAUUAACAUAAACAUGUCCUUUUGGGUUCAACCACUUCUCAGGGAUGGACGUAUCAAUUACUUGUUCCUUCAUCUAUAUCAGCGUAGGAUGGGUAAGAAUAUAGAGCUGUUAAGGAUUCCUAAGCUCAGAGGACAUAAGGGGGGAGAUUCUUUUUUAAUUCAUAUUAUCACCAAAUUCAUUUUUCAGUCACCUUUAAUUCCUUUCUCUAGGUAGCAAGCGGAAGUUGCCUAAACUGGAAUGGCCAGACUCUAGUUUUAGGGACUAGAAAGGGCGAUCAAGGGUCUCCUGCAGGAAACUAGCUCUGAGGCCUGGCUGGUGAGCAGUGAGAGGGGCUAAGGUUGAACAAAGAGCCCAAUCAUGUAGUAGUGCCUGCCAGUCAAGCUUAAGAGAAAAAACUAAGCUCUCUGUCACUUGUGCAAUUCUUUUUCCUCUUGGCUUCGCGAAAUCCAUUUCAUCUCAUAACAGGACACGGACCAAGUGCCCGCAGAGACAAUGGGUGCUACAGAUGUGUGGUUUUCAUUCAGUUUAUUUGCUUCAGCCUCUUGAAACAUGCCGAAUUGGGAAAAGGGGUGGGCUCUAUAAACCUGGUCUUUAUCUUGAAUUUCACUGUUGAUUUUGGCACGAGGCUUGAGAAAAAUGCUUAUUUAAGACCACCUGGAUUCCUUCAUUCAAGUUGAAUUUUGUAGUAGAAUAACCGUUAAUUUGUUCAGUUCUCUUGGCUCUGACAGACAAUGCAUUCGGUAAAUAUGAAGCCGUAUUACUCUAUUGUGCAAGAAAGAAAUUGAUAUAACCUGGGAGUUCCCAUUGUGGCAGCAGUAGUGAAUUCGACUAGUAUCCAUGAGGAUGUGGGUUCAAUCCCUGGCCUUGCUCAGUGGGUUAAGGAUCCCGAGUUGCUGUGGCUUAGGUUGGCAGCUACAGCUCUGACUCAACCUCUAGCCUGGGAGUUUCCAUAUGCUGUGGGUGUGGCCCUAAAAAG